This 750-nucleotide ribosomal RNA is filed under the name Triticum aestivum (bread wheat). RNAcentral describes it as "partial small subunit ribosomal RNA". The record is from RNAcentral. Lineage: Eukaryota; Viridiplantae; Streptophyta; Magnoliopsida; Poales; Poaceae.
AUGGCCCACGCGAUGAGCCCACUGUCCCUCGGCUGCACACUCGAGAGGGAGAGAGCUCAAGAUCCCUCCGCACCUGCUCCGCACCUGCUCCGCAUCACCAACCAUGACCCCGAAGACUUCUUCGCCUACUUCACCUUGUGGGUGCACAAGGACCUUUCCGUGUGGUGUAGCUCGCUGUCGGUCGAUGCCGUGCCUUUCCUGCUCGAGCCGUGGAGGGAGAUGCCCACGCCGUCUGCCUUAAGUGGAUGUUGCACGUUGGAGGCCAUAGGCGACAAGGUGCUCGUGGACCGCCUGGAUAGUCGAACUCACGAGCGCAUCAACACCAAGCUGUUCGCAUGCUGGGUGUGGUGCUGGGAAACUUCCCACAUCCCCACAAAGCGCAGGAUCUGCAAGCACGCCCGGGGUGCCGGCCGCGUCGACGAGAUGGUGGGAUACUCCCCCCCCCCGAGUCAUGAUGUAGCGCCAUCAUCGGAGCUCCUGCAAUACGACCUGCUCCUUCACCUCGACCGACUGGAGGAUUGGACGCCGCUCUUGCCACGCCCGUCCCGCUCACCGCAAAGUGGCAUCCCCUCCGACGACGAUGAGCCUGACGAGUACCCUUACCCAAGGAUCGAGCCGGGCAUCUGGGCUGAGCGCGUGGAAGAAUGCAGCAUUAGAGCACAUCCUGUAAGAGCAUACAUAUUGUCAUGGCUUUUCAUGCCUUCAAUUAAAACACCUACACUUCUUGCCAAGUCACUUACUCCCAGCUAG